RNAcentral lists this ribosomal RNA (497 nucleotides) under uncultured bacterium. RNAcentral describes it as "partial 16S ribosomal RNA". It matches the Rfam family "Bacterial small subunit ribosomal RNA", at positions 28 to 507 of the family's 1533-position model. The record is from RNAcentral.
GAUGAACGCUGGCGGCGUGCCUAAUACAUGCAAGUCGAGCGAACAGAUAAGGAGCUUGCUCCUUUGACGUUAGCGGCGGACGGGUGAGUAACACGUGGGUAACCUACCUAUAAGACUGGGAUAACUUCGGGAAACCGGAGCUAAUACCGGAUAACAUUUGGAACCGCAUGGUUCUAAAGUGAAAGAUGGUUUUGCUAUCACUUAUAGAUGGACCCGCGCCGUAUUAGCUAGUUGGUAAGGUAACGGCUUACCAAGGCAACGAUACGUAGCCGACCUGAGAGGGUGGUCGGCCAAACUGGAACUGAGACACGGUCCAGACUCCUACGGGAGGCAGCAGUAGGGAAUCUUCCGCAAUGGGCGAAAGCCUGACGGAGCAACGCCGCGUGAGUGAUGAAGGGUUUCGGCUCGUAAAACUCUGUUAUUAGGGAAGAACAAACGUGUAAGUAACUGUGCACGUCUUGACGGUACCUAAUCAGAAAGCCACGGCUAACUACGUG